CCGAGUGAGCGCCUCCGGGCGCGACCUCCAACCCUUUUGUGAUUAUACCUCUGUUGCCUCGGGGUGACCCGGCCCCGCCCGGCCCCCGAAGGACGAUUAGACCCAACUCUGCAUCUUUGCGUCGGAUUGAAAAGAUUAAUUGAUGA
This 146-nucleotide unclassified non-coding RNA is filed under the name uncultured Capnodiales. RNAcentral describes it as "sequence contains ITS1". The record is from RNAcentral. Lineage: Eukaryota; Fungi; Ascomycota; Dothideomycetes; Capnodiales.